This 254-nucleotide unclassified non-coding RNA is filed under the name uncultured Patescibacteria group bacterium. RNAcentral's name for it is "contains 16S-23S intergenic spacer region". It matches the Rfam family "Bacterial small subunit ribosomal RNA", at positions 524 to 776 of the family's 1533-position model. The record is from RNAcentral.
UACGGAGAAGGCAAGCGUUACCCGGAAUUACUGGGCGUAAAGCGUUGCGUAGGUGGUAUGUUAAGUGGCGUGCGAAAUCUCGGGGCUCAACCCCGAGUUGGUAGGCCAAACUAACAUACUUGAGGUCAGUAGAGGUGAGUGGAAUUGCUUAAGUAGGAGUGAUAUCCGUAGAUAUGAGCAGGAACACCAAUGGCGAAGGCAGCUCACUGGACUGUACCUGACACUGAGGCACGAAAGCGUGGGGAGCGAACCGG